Molecule: ribosomal RNA, 329 nt
Filed under: uncultured eukaryote
Lineage: Eukaryota
Description: partial 18S ribosomal RNA
Rfam family: Eukaryotic small subunit ribosomal RNA
Source: RNAcentral
CCCUUAGAUGUUCUGGGCCGCACGCGCGCUACACUGAUGCAUUCAACGAGUCUAAAACCUGCUCUGAUAGGGGUGGGUAAUCUUUUGAAUGUGCAUCGUGAUUGGGAUAGAUGAUUGCAAUUUUUCAUCUUCAACGAGGAAUGCCUAGUAAACGCAAGUCAUCAGCUUGCAUUGAUUACGUCCCUGCCCUUUGUACACACCGCCCGUCGCUCCUACCGAUUGAAUGAUCCGAUGAAUAUCAUGGAUUGAGGAUGCAAGUAGGUUAGCCUAUCUUCAUCUUCGAGAAGUGAAGUAACUCUUAUCAUUUAGAGGAAGGAGAAGUCGUAACA